Molecule: ribosomal RNA, 305 nt
Filed under: uncultured bacterium
Lineage: Bacteria
Description: bacterial SSU rRNA
Rfam family: Bacterial small subunit ribosomal RNA
Source: RNAcentral
CCUACGGGACGCAGCAGUGGGGAAUAUUGCACAAUGGGCGAAAGCCUGAUGCAGCAACGCCGCGUGAAGGAAGAAGGGUUUCGGCUCGUAAACUUCUAUUAACAGGGACGAAAGAAAUGACGGUACCUGAAUAAGCCACGGCUAACUACGUGCCAGCAGCCGCGGUAAUACGUAGGUGGCAAGCGUUGUCCGGAUUUACUGGGUGUAAAGGGCGUGCAGCCGGGAAGACAAGUCAGAUGUGAAAUCCCGCGGCUCAACCGCGGAACUGCAUUUGAAACUGUUUUUCUUGAGUACCGGAGAGGUCA